UCUAACCUAUUUUAGACAUCCACUUGUGAUGAAAACUUUUCUCACUAUGCCUCUUCAUGUACUAGAGAAGCACAAAGAUCACUAAUUUUUUUUCUUCCUAUGCUAGUAAUUAAUAGAUAAAUUGAGUAAGUUAAUAGUACUGGUAUUUCUAGUUAAGCCACCAUAGAUGACUUAACUCUUCCCUCUUUGCCCUCUUUGCCCUCACACAAAGUGAAUGACAUGAACUUUACUUUUUUCCAAAAUGAUCAUUGCUCAGGUUUUCAAACGCUGUCACAAGGACCAAGGGAUAGAACCUGAUUUUAAGGUAGAUGGAAAUUCAAGCACUCAGGUGCUAGAGUGAUUAUUUUCAGCCAACAGUUUAUAAUUCAGAAUUCUUUCUUCUUGUGUGCUUAUACUUUCAGUUUUCCAGGCAUUAGAACUCAUUUGCUUUAAAACUUGCCACUUGAUUCUAAGAACUGCUCUCUGCAGAAAAUUGAGAAAUGGCUGGCAAUCCAGGCUAGUUCAGCUGAGGAAUUAUUAACUCACAUCUCAAUUAGUCACUUGUUAACAAGCUGUCCUUUCCUCUCAGCACAAUUAACAGAAAUGAUUAGUUUCUAUCAGCUGUGACCAUAUUUCCCAACAUAUGUGAAAGAUACACAUUUACUUAAAAGGACACUCAGCAAUAUGGAAAUGAGUUUUGUGGCUGAUCAAGUGAAGACGUUUUUUUCCUGGAACAUGUGAAAAAGACAACCUCUCAUCACCAAACAUUGUAUUUCUACUGAUGGAAAGAAACCAAUUGAUCUACAGGGGAAUCACGGAGCAUAUCAAUCAGUCUUUGCAUGGAAGACUUCCCCUAACAUGGAAAACUAUCCUCUCCUACUUCAGACCUGCACAGUGACUUCUUUUUUACAUUAACUCCUCCACUGCUGUGUAUCCAGAAGGAAGAUCAUAGGAUCAUAGAAUCACAGAAAUUGUUUGACCUGGGAGGUAACAUUAAAGACCAUCUACUCCAACUCCCCUGCAAUGAACAGGGACACCUACAGCUACACCAGGGUGCUCAGAGC
This 1043-nucleotide long non-coding RNA is filed under the name Numida meleagris (helmeted guineafowl). RNAcentral's name for it is "lncRNA (ENSNMEG00000010044.1)". The record is from RNAcentral. Lineage: Eukaryota; Metazoa; Chordata; Aves; Galliformes; Numididae.